Molecule: long non-coding RNA, 2143 nt
Organism: Toxorhynchites rutilus septentrionalis
Lineage: Eukaryota; Metazoa; Arthropoda; Insecta; Diptera; Culicidae
Exons: 4
Source: RefSeq, a predicted model, not a curated record
UAAUGUAAACCCGCCAUUAGAGACGCUACCCGUGUGUCGGUAAAGCCAGGGGUACGACUAAAACGUCAAAUCCCUCAUAUUGCCAGUGUACCCAAUAUUGCUGCGGUUUACUGACAUUUUGGUUCAAUCAAUUACUGUUGUUUACAACUCGGUCCGGUUAUAUAGUUGAAUAGUGGCUAACUUUAAACUCCAUGUUAAAUGUGAACACCUCCAUGUGAAACCGAAAUAUGAAAAUCGCUCAUGCAGUUAGAAUAAAGCAGCGCAUUUUUCGAUUUCAAUCCUCGUAAAUGAUAUGUUGAUAAACAAAUGACGCCAUAUUGAUUUUGAUUUUGGGUAGCCUAUAUUCAAUUGAUGUCUAACCCCUGGGUAAAGCGGGUAGACAUACCGGCAGAUACCAUCCACAUACAAACUGAUGAGAAUAACAAAUUAUCAUUCAUUUCCAUCGGAUACUUGUGAAAGGCAGUGCGUGAGAUAUUCUAUCUUGGACUUAUGGGUUAUGGAACUGAGUGGAUGAUGAAUUCGAAUGAGGAAAAUGGUCUCCGUUGAGAGUGUUUUCGAUUGGGAACAUCAAUAGUAGACCUGUGCCUAUGACGGCCUAUGUCCUAUAUCAAGUUGGAUAUAUUAGAAAAAACUGAAAAAAUGUUUCUUCUUUAUGAGGAACUUUUGGUUCGAUUGAUUGGGUUACCUGCAAAUACGUAGAAGAGUUUUAUGUGGCUAUCCACCGAUGGAAUUGUUACUGCGGACCUCUCGAUUCCGUACAUUUGAAGAUGUAUCAUCGAUUCACGCACUCGCUUUCCCUGUUCGCAGAUGAAGUUUUGUAUCGAUAUCAUCUCGGGGGAGCCAAUGUGGAUCAACUAGGGCGAUCGUAAGUCGCCUCCAAAAGUGAAACCGAUAACGACGGUAGACUUUGAUUACAUAUUUGCCGGAAAGAAAUUAUUUCAUUAACUCCACCGUUUGAUGUCAGCGGGACGGAAAAAUAGCACUCGAAAACAUCAUAGGAGAAAACACGAUUUUUUUUUCUUCCCGGAACUCCGUAACCGCGAAGACGAGCGUUUUUUUUCGAGUAGAAGACUGCAGUGACUCUGACUUCCGAUGUGGACACGCUGGAAUGGCUUCUUCGUGCAAGUAUUUAAUUUUAAUUAUUAAAAUUUAGAUAGCAGUUUGAGUACAUUUUGUCGCGAUUUAUCAUAACUUUCAAUUUUGAGGAACAGCCAAUUCAAUAAUUAGAGUAUAUUAUUACUAGAAUCGAUAAGUUAGAAGACAGAGACUGUAAUUAUUUUACUCACAAGAUAGGUUAGGCCUAAUUUGCUUCUCAGCCUCAUACUGUAUUCGAUUGAUGGAAUGAAUCACAUUUAGUGUUCGGUUCGGUAUGGACACCGCCGGAUAUUCGGUUAUAUCAGAAUAUUGUCGUUUACUGCACAUCAAAAUUUACAAUUUGUUUAUCUUAACUUUUCCCUGUAGCAGUUAUAUCAGCGAAAUUGAUACGUCUGGGCUUCCUAUUGAAUCCAUUAAUUUAUAACAUCCAUUGAAGUUCGUGAAACAUCGACGACUGUUAGAAUACGUUUCUGGAUGUAAUUGAACUAAUCCGUAAUUAAGUUACGUUUCAGGACAACACUGGUUCGUUCGGUUCGUUCCGGAAAAGGGGAAAGAUCUGUGCUUUAUUGUUGCAUGCAAUGUUCGUUAAACAUGUUACUACACGUCUCUAAAGUCUAGUGUUACGACACGCGAUACAAAUUAUCUUCGGGUAUCCUGAGGAGGAAAACCUGUAAAAUUAACUGGGUCGACUAAAAAUUCUAUUCUCGAUCGUGACUUGAGGACUACGUAUAGCACGUAUCACGCUAUAGCCCUUGUGGUGGUGCAAGAUUUCCGUGGGUUUCGGAUCGAGUGAACGAAGUCGUGUAAUCUCGAAAUGCAAGUGAGUUUAUUCCUAUAAAAUUCGGCUUAUACAUGCCGUCUCAAUCUAGAGACAUCAUGUUGGUUAUCGCCUACCCGGCUGGUGAUACAUGCCUGCCCGUUAGGCAUGUAACGUUCAAGGAUUUCGGAUUCAACGAUAUACACGAGUAGAUGUCUGACACAGGAAUAUUCCCUCUGAGCUUGUCUGAGCUUAUUAGUCUGUUUUUAUGUACUAUAAGUUGUAAGUAAU